UAGGUCUCAAGGCCCUUCCACCAUCUCCCGACCCCCACAGCAUUACCCGUCUCCUGCCCGUGGCCUGUCUUUGCCCUGCCAUCCCUCAAGACCAUUGUGGAGCUGCUCCUCCUUCCUGUGCCCCCUUAGGUGUGGGUCUUACCGAGUGCAAAGGGCCAAGCUCUUGGCCGUCCUCCUGCGAGACAGCUCUGGAUGGUUCUGUUGCCAGGGAAGGGAGGCCUGCGCAUCCAGACCCCUGCCCACCAUGCUGCUUAAAAGUGUCUUCAGGAGAGAACUGGGACCUGGGCUUGGCCAGAGCCUGUGGAAGGCACUGGGGCUGGGGCUGAGUUGUGGGCUGGCCAAGCAGGUCAAUGGCCAGCAAGGAGGGGGGUCCGAGCCGGCGGCGGCGGCAGUGGUGGCAGCGGGAGACAAAUGGAAACCUCCACAGGGCACAGACUCCAUCAAGAUGGAGAACGGGCAGAGCACAGCCGCCAAGCUGGGGCUGCCGCCCCUGACGCCCGAGCAGCAGGAGGCCCUUCAGAAGGCCAAGAAGUACGCCAUGGAGCAGAGCAUCAAGAGCGUGCUGGUGAAGCAGACCAUCGCGCACCAGCAGCAGCAGCUCACCAAUCUGCAG
This 613-nucleotide small RNA is filed under the name Pongo abelii (Sumatran orangutan). Its description in RNAcentral is "processed transcript". Lineage: Eukaryota; Metazoa; Chordata; Mammalia; Primates; Hominidae. The record is from RNAcentral.